RNAcentral lists this ribosomal RNA (459 nucleotides) under uncultured bacterium. Its description in RNAcentral is "partial 16S ribosomal RNA". It matches the Rfam family "Bacterial small subunit ribosomal RNA", at positions 338 to 795 of the family's 1533-position model. The record is from RNAcentral.
CCUACGGGGGGCAGCAGUGAGGAAUAUUGGUCAAUGGCCGAGAGGCUGAACCAGCCAAGUCGCGUGAGGGAAGAAUGUCCUAUGGAUUGUAAACAUCUUUUGUCAGGGAGCAAAGUCACCCACGUGUGGGGGUUGGAGAGUACCUGAAGAAAAAGCAUCGGAUAACUCCGUGCCAGCAGCCGCGGUAAUACGGAGGAUGCGAGCGUUAUCCGGAUUUAGUGGGGUUAAAGGGUGCGUAGGCGGGUUAUCAAGUCAGCGGUAAAAGCGUGGAGCUCAACUCCAUCCAGCCGUUGAGACUGAUGAUCUUGAGUGGGCUAGAAGUAUGCGGAAUGCGUGGUGUAGCGGUGAAAUGCAUAGAUAUCACGCAGAACUCCGAUUGCGAAGGCAGCAUACCGGCGCCCGACUGACGCUGAAGCACGAAAGCGUGGGGAGCAAACAGGAUUAGAUACCCGGGUAGUC